Molecule: ribosomal RNA, 472 nt
Filed under: uncultured bacterium
Lineage: Bacteria
Description: bacterial SSU rRNA
Rfam family: Bacterial small subunit ribosomal RNA
Source: RNAcentral
AAUGAACGUUGGCGGCGUGGAUUAGGCAUGCAAGUCGCGCGACGAAGGUUCCUUCGGGGACUGGAGGAGCGGCAAACGGGGUAGUAAGGCAUCGGAACGUACCCUCUCGUCUGGGAUAGCCACGGGAAACUGUGAGUAAUACCGGAUGAUAUCGAGAGAUCAAAGGUCCGCCGCGAGGGGAGCGGCCGAUGUGAUACCAGCUAGUUGGUAGGGUAAUGGCCUACCAAGGCUUAGACGUCUAGGGGGUNUGAGAGCAUGGCCCCCACACUGGGACUGAGAUACUGCCCAGACACCUACGGGUGGCUGCAGUCGAGAAUCUUCGGCAAUGGGCGCAAGCCCUGACCGGAGCAACGCCGCGUGCGGGAUGAAGGCCCUUGGGUUGUAAACCGCUGUCAGGGGGAUGAAAGCGCAAGCUUGACAGAGCCCCAGAGGAAGCACGGGCUAAGUUCGUGCCAGCAGCCGCGGUAAAGUU